GAUGAAGAACGUAGCGAAAUGCGAUAAGUAAUGCGAAUUGCAGAAUUUCCGUGAGUCAUCGAAUCUUUGAACGCACAUUGCGCCCACUGGUAUUCCGGUGGGCAUGCCUGUUCGAGCGUCAUUAUCCUCCCUCAAACCCCGGGUUUGGUGUUGGACCGAAGUUGUGUGAACAUCUGGUCUAAAAGACAAUGACGGCGUCCGUGGGACCCUCGGUGCGACGAGCUUUUAGGAGCACGCGCCGAGUUGCAAGGACCUUCCGGGCCGGUCUCCUUUUACUAUUUUACAAGGUUGACCUCGGAUCAGGUAGGAAUACCCGCUGAACUUAAGCAUAUCAAUAAGCGGAGGA
Molecule: unclassified non-coding RNA, 346 nt
Filed under: soil metagenome
Description: partial contains 5.8S ribosomal RNA, internal transcribed spacer 2, and large subunit ribosomal RNA
Rfam family: 5.8S ribosomal RNA (bases 1-121)
Source: RNAcentral